UGCACAUGCCGAGCACGCGCCGUCGUCUUCCCGAUUUCGAAUUCCCCAUUGCUCCCCGCGUGGCGGCCACGCGACUAGCCCUACCCUGCGCAACGCCUCCAUCUGCUCCUACCCGCGUCCCCGUGGUGAUCGAGCAGAUCCGCGUAGGGCGGUGUGGGUCGGGGGCGGAUGGGGAGUUGGAGACUGCGAAGGCGGAGGCAGGAGGGAUGGGGGCCCUUUCCGUUGACUCGGCGACCACCGGCUCCGGUGUCGUCACUAGCGGCGCGGCUACCCUAAUUUGGAUUCCUGAGAACUGAAUGGUGCAGAGGAGGAGCCUGAUUAGGGGAUCGCUUGCUAUAUUUGCAGAACUCAGGUGAGAUUGUUUCAUGGUUUCUUUGGUUUCCAAGGAACGAUGGCCAGCCCGUUUUGCUGGGAAUGUUACGCGCUGAAUAUUCACAGCACUGUUUGGGAUAUGCUAGUUUUUAUCUCCUCCUUUUCUAAUUUGCAUCAAAUAAGUAGCUAUGUUUAAUUCUUCAGAACCUUGGUGCACAGUAAAGUUUCCUUAUUAUGUCACACAGAUAUAGUAACAUCUUAAUACCAUAAUAUUAUUAUCAUUGUUUGACGAAUGUCAGAUGCCCCUUAGUAUAUGCAGAAAAGGUGAGCAAGAAGGCAAGAACAGCAAAUUUAUGAGUCACAGCUUCGCACCAACUGAAAAGGGAAUGGACAUUCCAUCAUUUGCACCUUCCUCGUCUUGUUCCCAAAUCCCAAUUGACUUUCACAUCCUUUGAACUGCUUAGGUUGUGUUAUGAUGGUUUUGCAGGUCCUUAUUAAUAUUUCUAUGAAUUUAACAAGACUUUUCUAGGAGAAAUGGUCUUGAAAGCAACACCAAGCCUUGGAGAGGAACAGGCAAGUGCCCAGGAGCUUGUGCUUCCGGACAGGUUAGUGUCAAGCUGUGUGUGCGCGCGCGCACGCACGCCUCUGCCAGAUCUCAAGAUAAUUUGCAUAAUACAUGUGAGCUUGUUUCAUGUUUACUUUGAAUUCCAUUGAACGAUGUCCCUUUUUUCUGGUGGAUUUUUUUUACCGCUGAUAUUUUCGAUUCAUUGUAAGUUUACCGCUGAGAGCUUCUACUGUCUUUGCAUCUUGCUUAGUAUUCUGUGCUUUGCUUUAGGUUUCUAGUUUUCUUUCGUUCAAGGUUUAAUUUAUUGAAAACAUGCAUUAAUUCUUAUCCCUUGUAUGACAAGGUGAAAACUUGUCUUGGUCAAUGCUGCUUGAAUUAAGUAAAAGCUUGAUCACUGUCUACUAUUUGCUUACUGUCUGGUGUUAAUGGUCCUGUUUAUGCUCUAUUCUUAGUGUUAGGACCGAAACUUGACAGAAAACAUAGAACACAUGUGACUCAACUCCAUUUUUGUAUGCAUGAUCCAUUUGUAGCUGCUUCGGUGAUUAAAGUUAUUUGACCACUGUUUAUGUGACUGUUAAUAGUAUAAACAGAAUAAAAAUUUGGAAAACUUAAUUGUUAACUACUCGACCUUUGGAAUUUGGAGGUAAGCUAUAGCAUUGUUACACGAAACAAAGUGUCUUGUAAUUAAUUGAUGGUUUUGAAUAUGAAUGAAAGGUUUAGCUCUGUUUUAGAUGGCGAGUCAUCUUAAUGCAUGUAUAGUGAUGAUGUAAUAACUGUUUUAAUGUUGACAUGAUGAAUGGGUGACAGCCCCCACCAUCGGAUAAUAGUUUCUUAUGAAUAUUUUGGUUAGCAAGCCAUGAACUAAUUAACUUUGGUUAAUUGCAUUUCAUGGAUAUUCCAGUUAACAAUAUAGAAGCGGUGAAUUUAUUUGUUUUGGAAAUGGUUCUUGUAUUAUGACUUUCCUUAGGAUUAACAGUAGAAAACAUUGAACAAAUUAUGUUUUGGAGACCGAACGCAUGUUCAAACCUACACUAAUUUGUGAUGGUAGACAGUAGGACAGCUUCCGCUACUACUUGGAUAUUGACUCUGACGCUUGUUGCUAGAUAUAAAAAGAUAUGAUAUACUGGCAAAGCUGGUGUGUAGAGUUUUUCAUCAUUUAUGAUUCACCGCCUUUAAGCCAUAUAGUGGUUCCUGCUUAGUGAGUUGUGUAUGUGGCAUGCCUAUUUUUUCUAAAAAUAACUUUUCCAAUAGUCGUGGGCAUGUAUAUCUUGGACUAUAAACACAACUCAGGGCCAAGUAAUAGGAGGGUUGUAUUUUUUUUUUGCCAGUUUCCCUUAUAAUUGUCUCUAUCUGCCUGCACCCUGUGGGGACUAUUGUUGUCUGCAAUUAGUCAAACUUUCAAACUUUGGACAUUGCUCUACAUUCGAGUGUUAAGAUUAAAUGGACAUAAUAUUAAUUAAUUCAGCGUCAAUACUUCACCAUCACGUCAGCUUCUUGCAAAAUCGACACUUUUGCUGCAACCAAGAUAUUUCUGUGCUAUGCUUGCAUAUUCUUUUGCUGUAACCUUUACCCAACUUUCUGUCAUUCUCCAACCAGUUUCUGAUAUGAUUAUUCAGAAGCUGACUGGAAUGAAUUUGUGUUUUGCAUUCUGAUAUUAGACAUGUUUUGUAAUCAUGUUGUCAUGAUCUUUAAUUAACUUGCCUUCAUCAACUAUUUGCACAUCUUUGCUCGAAAUUUCUUAGUCCAAAACAUUGCCACAUUACAUGAGUAGAAUUCUAUAGCAGGAUAGUUUCUGUUCAUGUCGAAAGUGUAUCUGCUGGGCCACAUACCAUUUAUACGAGAACACCAAUCCUUGGUCUUCUUGUAGGUAAUAUGACUAAAAUUGGUGGUAUUUAUUUUCAGAAACCUAAUAUUAGCCUAGAGGAGUUCUUUUAUUAUCUCUAUUCAACAUGGCGAUCGAGCUUUUGCUUUCUAAUUAUGAUAAUAAUGGCCUGUUAAUUCAUCCAGCAUAUUUAUUAUCUAGUGUGCAAAUUGUGGCCUUUUCUUCCUAACAUAUACUUGCAUGCUUUGAUGGGUGCAUUUCUCCAUUUGUCCCCGGUGAUUUUCUUUUUCGCAGGUGGCAUAAUGAGUGACAGUUUCAGUGGAUUAUUCUGUUUUCAACAAUAUCCUAUUUACUAGUUGCGUGCGUAGCAGCAAGACUUUCAUAUACUCCGCUAACGUUAGUGAUGUUCUUUUACUAUGUAUCGAAGCACAUGGUCAGGAUCUGUUCCUGCGCUGGCCUUUCCAAACCCUUUUUUUCCUCCCUAGUAAUCAUAUUGAGCAAAACCUGAUAAUGUUUCAUGUUACUGAAAACAGACAGGUUGAUAAUGUUGGUUACUGUACGUA
Molecule: long non-coding RNA, 3262 nt
Organism: Panicum hallii
Lineage: Eukaryota; Viridiplantae; Streptophyta; Magnoliopsida; Poales; Poaceae
Exons: 2
Source: RefSeq, a predicted model, not a curated record